This 76-nucleotide transfer RNA is filed under the name Kordia antarctica. RNAcentral's name for it is "tRNA-Asp". It matches the Rfam family "tRNA". Rfam says of the family: Transfer RNA (tRNA) molecules are approximately 80 nucleotides in length. Lineage: Bacteria; Pseudomonadati; Bacteroidota; Flavobacteriia; Flavobacteriales; Flavobacteriaceae. The record is from RNAcentral.
AACAGUAGUAGCUCAAUUGGAAGAGUGCCUGCCUGUCACGCAGGAAGUUGCGGGUUCGAAUCUCGCUUACUGUUGC